ACAAAAAUUAGCUGGGCAUGGUAGCCCGCACCUGUAAUCCCAGGUAUGGAUCAGUGGCUACUAUGUGCCAGAUCUCAGCAAGACAGAGGAGGAUGAAGAGGUUAAUAAGACGCAGGGAUCAUCCUGCUGGAAUGGAAGUCACAGGGGAGGGGCUAAGGGGACCAGGAACAUGGGACAAGGGCACCUGGCACAGCCUGGGGCAGAGUCGCCGCUGAGGAAACAGCUGGGUCAGGCUGGGCCUUCUCUACAUGGUUGCAGGCUGGGCACCAAUAUUUCCUAUGGGCUUUGGGGCUCUGGCAGUCCAGGCGUCUGUGCCUGCACCACCUUAUCUCCUGUUGAAGGGCUCCCCAUCAGCCUGGAACAGGGCAGGUGCCCAUGUGUGCUGAUUGUGCCAUGGUUAGGUCUGAAGCCAGACCGCCUGGUAUUCAAAUCCCACUUCUGUCACUUUCUAACCUGAUGACCUUGGGCAAAUCAUUUUACCUCCCAAAGCUUCAGUUUCUUCAUCUGUAAAAGGGGGAUUAUAAUAACCCCUAACUCAUAGGAUUGUGUGACGGUUCAGUGAUGUAAUAAUAAUUUAGGUAAAGCAUCCAACAGUGCCUGGAACUGUGAAUCAUGAGAGCUACAAAUAGUGUCAUUAUAACCAUCAUCACCAUUGCACUGUCCAAAGAAACUUCUCCGGUGUUGCGAAGGUAGCAGAGGGUGUGACUGGAUGCGGGUGAUGGACACAGAUAUAAAAGGCGCGAAGGGCUGCUAUGAUGAACGCUAACCUGAGGACAGAGGGAAGAAAUUGCAUCCUGAAGCAAUCCAUUCAUUCAUUCAUCAUUCACUAAUUUAAUCAGCCUUCACCACACAAACCUGCGAUGUGCAGGGUUCUGAGCUGGGUCCCAAGGACAUGAGGACAACUUGGCAGGUACUUUCUACCAUCAAGGGCACACGACAUUGCUGAGGACAGAAAUAGUGCAAGGUGGGGAGGUGGCAGGUUACAAGAUAAAGAAGCUAUAGUCAAUUGCCAGUUAGAAAGAGUACUGGGAAAAUAGCAAUAAUAGCUACCAUAGAAACUGUGCAAGUACUAGGUGAAGAGGCCUGUGAAACUAACUUACUGCAAGGCUUGAAUAAAUAGAGACAUUCGCGGCCAGGUGCAGUGGCUCAUGCCUGUAAUCUCAGCACUUUGAGAGGCUGAGGCGGGGGUAUCACAAGGUC
This 1200-nucleotide long non-coding RNA is filed under the name Homo sapiens (human). Its description in RNAcentral is "HSALNT0354983". The record is from RNAcentral. Lineage: Eukaryota; Metazoa; Chordata; Mammalia; Primates; Hominidae.